GUUAAAAAGCUCGUAGUCGAAUCUGUGUCGCGCGCCGCCGGUUCAUCGCUCGCGGUGUCAACUGGCGUGUCGCGGGACGUCCUGCCGGUGGACGCGGUCUCGUCUUCGCUCUCGUGGCGGGACGGGACGGUCCAACUUCAACAAUCCCACCGCGGUGCUCUUCGCUGAGUGUCGAGGUGGGCCGGCACGUUUACUUUGAACAAAUUAGAGUGCUUAAAGCAGGCCAAAAAUUCGCCUGAAUACUGUGUGCAUGGAAUAAUGGAAUAGGACCUCGGUUCUAUUUUGUUGGUUUUCGGAACC
RNAcentral lists this ribosomal RNA (300 nucleotides) under Haeterius morsus. Its description in RNAcentral is "bacterial SSU rRNA". It matches the Rfam family "Eukaryotic small subunit ribosomal RNA", at positions 618 to 858 of the family's 1831-position model. Lineage: Eukaryota; Metazoa; Arthropoda; Insecta; Coleoptera; Histeridae. The record is from RNAcentral.